Molecule: long non-coding RNA, 219 nt
Filed under: Elaeis guineensis (African oil palm)
Lineage: Eukaryota; Viridiplantae; Streptophyta; Magnoliopsida; Arecales; Arecaceae
Description: long non-coding RNA (EGUI_LNC026489)
Source: RNAcentral
CCUCCUUCUUAUGGCAUCACGCACCCCCGUCAGUCGUCGGGUUCAUCGAAAAUCCCAUAAAAAUAAAAACUGAGCUUUUCUCUAUUCAACUGAGCCAUCUCUUCCUUGUUUUCGAUCGCCGGCGCUGCUAUUCGUGGUGCUGCACCCAUGCAGCAUGAACCCCACCUCCCUACCUAUCUUUUUCGAAGGUCAUGGCCGUUGAUGAUCGGCCAAUGAUCG